CCUACGGGUGGCAGCAGUGAGGAAUAUUGGUCAAUGGGCGAGAGCCUGAACCAGCCAAGUCGCGUGAAGGAUGAAGGAUCUAUGGGUUGUAAACUUCUUUUAUAUGGGAAUAAAAUGUUCCACGUGUGGGAUUUUGUAUGUACCAUAUGAAUAAGGAUCGGCUAACUCCGUGCCAGCAGCCGCGGUAAUACGGAGGAUCCGAGCGUUAUCCGGAUUUAUUGGGUUUAAAGGGAGCGUAGGUGGAUUGUUAAGUCAGUUGUGAAAGUUUGCGGCUCAACCGUAAAAUUGCAGUUGAAACUGGCAGUCUUGAGUACAGUAGAGGUGGGCGGAAUUCGUGGUGUAGCGGUGAAAUGCUUAGAUAUCACGAAGAACUCCGAUUGCGAAGGCAGCUCACUGGACUGCAACUGACACUGAGGCUCGAAAGUGUGGGUAUCAAACAGGAUUAGAUACCCCGGUAGUC
This 460-nucleotide ribosomal RNA is filed under the name uncultured bacterium. RNAcentral's name for it is "partial 16S ribosomal RNA". It matches the Rfam family "Bacterial small subunit ribosomal RNA", at positions 338 to 795 of the family's 1533-position model. The record is from RNAcentral.